GUGUCAGCCGCCGCGGUAAUACGUAGGUGGCAAGCGUUAUCCGGAAUUACUGGGCGUAAAGCGCACGCAGGUGGUUUGCUAAGUUUGACGUGAAAGCGCCUGGCUUAACUGGGCGAGGUCGUUGGAGACUGGCAGACUUGAGGCGAUGAGAGGGGUGUAGAAUUCCCGGUGUAGUGGUGGAAUGCGUAGAUAUCGGGAGGAAUACCAGUGGCGAAAGCGGCACCCUGGCAUUGGCCUGACACUCAUGUGCGAAAGCGUGGGGAGCAAACGGGAUUAGAAACCCGCGUAGUCC
This 292-nucleotide ribosomal RNA is filed under the name uncultured bacterium. Its description in RNAcentral is "partial 16S ribosomal RNA". It matches the Rfam family "Bacterial small subunit ribosomal RNA", at positions 505 to 796 of the family's 1533-position model. The record is from RNAcentral.